AUGCAGGUUACUCCGAGAUGGUGCGUCGAUAAGGGGGAGUGUUGGGAGCGGAUCAUGGACUAUUGGUGUUCCAAAGAGUACAGGGCGAAAAACAAAGAUUAUAGAAAUCGGCGAGCCGGAAUGCUGGAUCCACCACAUCAUCAAGGCAACUUGAACAUUAUGGAGUACGGUGAACGUUGGGCGUCUCACCAUAAUGCUCCAGUGCCCAACCUUUUCGUCUCGUAUGCUUUGGCCCAUAAUCACCGUACAGAACAACCACGCCUUACGAUGAGAAUGACACAGCGUCCGCGUACUCCAGCAAGACCGCCUACGAUCGGAUGGAGAAAUUUAAAGGGGUGGCAAAAGAGUUGA
Molecule: ribosomal RNA, 351 nt
Filed under: Triticum aestivum (bread wheat)
Lineage: Eukaryota; Viridiplantae; Streptophyta; Magnoliopsida; Poales; Poaceae
Description: partial small subunit ribosomal RNA
Source: RNAcentral